GCCAGCAAAUGCUAUGAUAACAGUUAAAAAUUCUUAAAAUGAAACGAUGCAAUUGAUGUCCUUUAACAUGGAGACAAAUCAUUCGGCAAAAGAUGCUAAGACAGAAUACUAUGUGGGUGAAAUUUAUGGUUUUUUGUUGUGUUAUUAUGAAGGAAUUGAUGCAUACAAUACAAUGACGUAUGAACGCUGACAGAGGGAGAAUACAUCAAUCUUUGUCACGAAUGCAGUGAGUACAUGUUAAAAAUAUUUGUCUGCUAAAUUUCAUAUUUGACCACUAACAUCCUCCUAGGAGCUUCUAAUUGGUCCUUAAAACUGGUCCUCGUAUUCUUCGUUGUUCAAUUUGUUUUCAUUUGCUUGUCCUGACACUGAUCUGUUUUUAUUUCCAUUUUACUGUUAUAAGUUUAUUUUUGAAGUGACUAAUCUUUCGUAUAAAUCGAAACGGCAAGAUUGAGGAUUUUAACUGUGUGAAGCUCAUGGCUAAACGGUUUGAGAAAUGUCAGAUUGAUAUUCUCAAGUCGGCAUUUGAAGAGUCGGAGCAUUUGACCAGAGAGAAGAAGAUUGACUUGGUGAGGACUGCAGGUCUGGAUAUGGAGCAGAUUGCCAGCUGGUUCAACAGGAAAAGAGCGUGUAAGCGAGCUCGGAAAUCCAUAGGGGAUUGGGAACGAAAUAAUGCUGAUCUCCAGCUAGCACUGGAGGAGAGUAGAGAGAAGGAAGCUGAGCUCCAAAAGAAGCUUAACGAGAGUAAGCAGAGAGAAGCUGAACUUGAAGCAGAAAACCAGAGUUUAAAACAAUCUCUAGCGAUUUCUGGAGGUGAUAUGCGGUUUGAUUCUGUACUUGGGUUUUGCAGCGGAUCUCCAUAGUGUAUUUGAUGAUCAUAUUUUACGCCCACGAAGAUAAAGAGUAGUACAAUUAAUCCAUUUUCCAUGACCCAAGCAAAGUUACUGUUUAUGAGUAUUGUGGUUCAGCAAUAAAAGUUCUCAGUUUAUUGUUUUUCUUUUUCCUACUUCCGCCUUAUAUCCUUUUUCUUUCCCGUUAAUUCAUUACCAAAAAUU
Molecule: long non-coding RNA, 1052 nt
Filed under: Olea europaea subsp. europaea
Lineage: Eukaryota; Viridiplantae; Streptophyta; Magnoliopsida; Lamiales; Oleaceae
Source: RNAcentral